UCCGGUUGAUCCUGCCGGACCCCACUGCUAUCGGGGUGGGACUAAGACAUGCUAGUCGUGCGCCUCCAAGCCACGGUGGAGGCGCGGCGCACAGCUCAGUAACACGUGGCUAACCUACCCUUGGGACAGGGACAACCCCGGGAAACUGGGGCUAAUCCCCGAUAGGUGAGGACUCCUGGAAUGGGUCCUCGCUGAAAGGGCGUCUAGACCAUGCUUCUAGACGCUGCCCAAGGAUGGGGCCGCGGCCGAUCAGGUUGUUGGUGAGGUAACGGCUCACCAAGCCUAAGACCGGUACGGGCCGUGAGAGCGGGAGCCCGGAGAUGGACACUGAGACAAGGGUCCAGGCCCUACGGGGCGCAGCAGUCGCGAAACCUCCGCAAUACGCGAAAGCGUGACGGGGCCACCCCGAGUGCCGUCCGCUGAGGACGGCUUUUCCCCAGUGUAGACAGCUGGGGGAAUAAGGGGAGGGCAAGUCGGGUGUCAGCCGCCGCGGUAAUACCCGCUCCCCGAGUGGUGGGGACGCUUAUUGGGCCUAAAGCAUCCGUAGCCGGCUGGACAAGUCCCCUGUUAAAUCCAGCGAUUUAAUCGCUGGACUGCGGGGGAUACUGUCCAGCUAGGGGGCGGGAGAGGCCGGCGGUAUUCCCGGGGUAGGGGUGAAAUCUUAUAAUCCCGGGAGGUCCACCAGUGGCGAAGGCUGCCGGCUGGAACGCGCCCGACGGUGAGGGAUGAAAGCUGGGGGAGCGAACCGGAUUAGAUACCCGGGUAGUCCCAGCUGUAAACGAUGCGGGCUAGGUGUUGGCACGGCUACAAGCCGUGUCAGUGCCGUAGGGAAGCCGUUAAGCCCGCCGCCUGGGGAGUACGGCCGCAAGGCUGAAACUUAAAGGAAUUGGCGGGGGAGCACCACAAGGGGUGAAGCUUGCGGUUUAAUUGGAGUCAACGCCGGG
RNAcentral lists this ribosomal RNA (944 nucleotides) under uncultured archaeon. RNAcentral describes it as "bacterial SSU rRNA". It matches the Rfam family "Archaeal small subunit ribosomal RNA", at positions 1 to 922 of the family's 1478-position model. The record is from RNAcentral.